UACGGGGGGGCAAGCGUUGUUCGGAUUUACUGGGCGUAAAGGGCGCGUAGGCGGUCGUGACAAGUCACUUGUGAAAUCUCCGGGCUUAACUCGGAACGGUCAAGUGAUACUGUCGGACUAGAGUACAGAAGGGGCAACUGGAAUUCUCGGUGUAGCGGUGAAAUGCGUAGAUAUCGAGAGGAACACCUGCGGCGAAGGCGGGUUGCUGGGCUGAUACUGACGCUGAGGCGCGAAAGCCAGGGGAGCGAACGGG
This 253-nucleotide ribosomal RNA is filed under the name uncultured bacterium. RNAcentral's name for it is "partial 16S ribosomal RNA". It matches the Rfam family "Bacterial small subunit ribosomal RNA", at positions 524 to 776 of the family's 1533-position model. The record is from RNAcentral.